Molecule: ribosomal RNA, 459 nt
Filed under: uncultured bacterium
Lineage: Bacteria
Description: partial 16S ribosomal RNA
Rfam family: Bacterial small subunit ribosomal RNA
Source: RNAcentral
CCUACGGGUGGCUGCAGUGAGGAAUAUUGGUCAAUGGGCGGGAGACUGAACCAGCCAAGCCGCGUGAGGGAGGAAGGUACAGAGUAUCGUAAACCUCUUUUGUCAGGGAACAAAGACUGGGACGCGUCCCCGGAUGAGUGUACCUGAAGAAAAAGCAUCGGCUAACUCCGUGCCAGCAGCCGCGGUAAUACGGAGGAUGCGAGCGUUAUCCGGAUUUAUUGGGUUUAAAGGGUGCGCAGGCGGUCGGUCAAGUCAGCGGUAAAAGACCGGGGCUCAACCCCGUCGCGCCGUUGAAACUGGCAGUCUCGAGUUGGAGAGAAGUAUGCGGAAUGCGCGGUGUAGCGGUGAAAUGCAUAGAUAUCGCGCAGAACUCCGAUUGCGAAGGCAGCAUGCCGGCUCCAAACUGACGCUGAGGCACGAAAGCGUGGGUAUCGAACAGGAUUAGAUACCCCUGUAGUC